GGGGGAUUAGCUCAGCUUGGGAGAGCACCUGCUGUUGCAAGCAGGGGGGUCGUCGGUUCGAUCCCUCAUCCCUCC
RNAcentral lists this transfer RNA (75 nucleotides) under Paraburkholderia sp. BL9I2N2. RNAcentral's name for it is "tRNA-Ala". It matches the Rfam family "tRNA". Rfam says of the family: Transfer RNA (tRNA) molecules are approximately 80 nucleotides in length. Their secondary structure includes four short double-helical elements and three loops (D, anti-codon, and T loops). Lineage: Bacteria; Pseudomonadati; Pseudomonadota; Betaproteobacteria; Burkholderiales; Burkholderiaceae. The record is from RNAcentral.